UAGGAUGAGCUGGCCAGCACCCCAA
This 25-nucleotide non-coding RNA is filed under the name Mus musculus (house mouse). Lineage: Eukaryota; Metazoa; Chordata; Mammalia; Rodentia; Muridae. The record is from RNAcentral.